RNAcentral lists this ribosomal RNA (490 nucleotides) under uncultured bacterium. RNAcentral describes it as "bacterial SSU rRNA". It matches the Rfam family "Bacterial small subunit ribosomal RNA", at positions 28 to 507 of the family's 1533-position model. The record is from RNAcentral.
GAUGAACGCUAGCUACAGGCUUAACACAUGCAAGUCGAGGGGCAGCGGAUUGAGCUUGCUUCAAUUGCCCGGCGACCGGCGCACGGGUGAGUAACGCGUAUCCAACCUUCCGUACACUCAGGGAUAGCCUUUCGAAAGAAAGAUUAAUACCUGAUGGUAUCUUAAGCACACAUGUAAUUAAGAUUAAAGAUUUAUCGGUGUACGAUGGGGAUGCGUUCCAUUAGGUAGUAGGCGGGGGUAACGGCCCACCUAGCCAACGAUGGAUAGGGGUUCUGAGAGGAAGGUCCCCCACAUUGGAACUGAGACACGGUCCAAACUCCUACGGGAGGCAGCAGUGAGGAAUAUUGGUCAAUGGACGAGAGUCUGAACCAGCCAAGUAGCGUGAAGGAUGAAGGUCCUACGGAUUGUAAACUUCUUUUAUAAGGGAAUAAACCCUCCCACGUGUGGGAGCUUGUAUGCACCUUAUGAAUAAGCAUCGGCUAACUCCGUG